RNAcentral lists this ribosomal RNA (504 nucleotides) under uncultured bacterium. RNAcentral's name for it is "partial 16S ribosomal RNA". It matches the Rfam family "Bacterial small subunit ribosomal RNA", at positions 30 to 523 of the family's 1533-position model. The record is from RNAcentral.
AUUGAACGCUGGCGGCAGGCCUAACACAUGCAAGUCGAACGGUAGCACAGAGAGCUUGCUCUCGGGUGACGAGUGGCGGACGGGUGAGUAAUGUCUGGGAAACUGCCCGAUGGAGGGGGAUAACUACUGGAAACGGUAGCUAAUACCGCAUAACGUCGCAAGACCAAAGUGGGGGACCUUCGGGCCUCACACCAUCGGAUGUGCCCAGAUGGGAUUAGCUAGUAGGUGGGGUAAUGGCUCACCUAGGCGACGAUCCCUAGCUGGUCUGAGAGGAUGACCAGCCACACGGGAACUGAGACACGGUCCAGACUCCUACGGGAGGCAGCAGUGGGGAAUAUUGCACAAUGGGCGCAAGCCUGAUGCAGCCAUGCCGCGUGUAUGAAGAAGGCCUUCGGGUUGUAAAGUACUUUCAGCGGGGAGGAAGGCGGUGAAGUUAAUAGCUUCACCGAUUGACGUUACCCGCAGAAGAAGCACCGGCUAACUCCGUGCCAGCCGCCGCCGUAA